GCCUACGGAAUGCACCCCUGCCCCAAACGGUGGGCCUCAAGUGACAACAUUCACGAUUUUGGGGGGAACUGGUAGGGUACCCAGCACGUCCCCAGCACGAAGCCCCUGUGCAACAAUUGCUAGGCCACAGACGCCAACAGUUGCGCUCACUCAGCUACGCAGAAUGUCCCCAGCAAGCACUGCUGCUGCAAAUGGGCCACGGACGCCAACAGUCACGGUGGGGGGAAGAACCCCUACGCUAUCCAGCACACAGUCCUUGGCAUGCACUCCUGCCACAGACAAGCUUCACUCACCAACAUUUAUGACUGGAGGGGGAGUGUCCAGCACGCCUACGGAAUGCACCCCUGCCCCAAACGGUGGGCCUCAAGUGACAACAUUCACGAUUGUGGGG
Molecule: long non-coding RNA, 391 nt
Organism: Ixodes scapularis (black-legged tick)
Lineage: Eukaryota; Metazoa; Arthropoda; Arachnida; Ixodida; Ixodidae
Exons: 5
Source: RefSeq, a predicted model, not a curated record